GGUUUUGACUGUGUUAAAGAUGUGGUUUUGACUGUGUUAAAGAUGUGGUUUUGACUGUGUUAAAGAUGUGGUUUUGACUGUGUUAAAGAUUUGGUUUUGCAUUUUUCUAAGUACUUUACACCCCUCAGACCCCAUGGAGGAGGACAUUCUGCAGGUAGUCAAGUACUGCACUGAUCUGAUCAAUGACAAAGACCUAGAGAAACUUGACCUGAUCAUCAAGUACAUGAAGAGGUUGAUGCAGCAGUCUGUGGAGUCUGUAUGGAGCAUGGCCUUUGACUUCAUCCUGGACAACGUGCAGGUGGUAGUACAACAGACCUACGGCAGCACUCUGAAGAUCACGUAGGAGAGGGCAACACUCUGAAGAUCACGUAGGAGAGGGCAGCACUUUGAAAAUCACGUAGGAGAGGGCAACACUCUGAAGAUCACGUAGGAGAGGGCAGCACUCUGAAGAUCACGUAGGAGAGGGCAGCACUCUGAAGAUCACGUAGGAGAGGGCAGCACUCUGAAGAUCACGUAGGAGAGGGCAGCACUCUGAAGAUCACGUAGGAGAGGGCAACACUCUGAAGAUCACGUAGGAGAGGGCAACACUCUGAAGAUCACGUAGGAGAGAGCAACACUCUGAAGAUCACGUAGGAGAGGGCAGCACUCUGAAGAUCACGUAGGAGAGGGCAGCACUCUGAAAAUCACGUAGGAGAGGGCAACACUCUGAAGAUCACGUAGGAGAGGGCAACACUGAAAAUCACGUAGGAGAGGACAACACUUUGAAAAUCACGUAGGAGAGGGCAACACUCUGAAGAUCACGUAGGAGAGGGCAACACUCACGUAGGAGAGGACAACACUUUGAAGAUCACGUAGGAGAGGGCAACACUCUGAAGAUCACGUAGGAGAGGGCAGCACUCUGAAGAUCACAACACUCUGAAGAUCACGUAGGAGAGGGCAACACUCUGAAAAUCACGUAGGAGAGGGCAACACUCUGAAGAUCACGUAGGAGAGGGCAGCACUCUGAACAUCACGUAGGAGAGGGCAACACUGAAGAUCACGUAGGAGAGGGCAGCACUCUGAAGAUCACGUAGAAGAGGGCAACACUCUGAAGAUCACGUAGAGAGGGCAGCACUCUGAAAAUCACGUAGGAGAGGGCAACACUCUGAAGAUCACGUAGGAGAGGGCAACACUGAAGAUCACGUAGGAGAGGGCAACACUGAAGAUCACGUAGGAGAGGGCAACACUGAAGAUCACGUAGGAGAGGA
Oncorhynchus keta (chum salmon) is the source of this 1247-nucleotide long non-coding RNA. RefSeq lists it as uncharacterized. The transcript has 3 exons. The record is from RefSeq and is a predicted model, not a curated record. Lineage: Eukaryota; Metazoa; Chordata; Actinopteri; Salmoniformes; Salmonidae.